Nicotiana attenuata is the source of this 122-nucleotide long non-coding RNA. RefSeq lists it as uncharacterized. The transcript has 2 exons. Lineage: Eukaryota; Viridiplantae; Streptophyta; Magnoliopsida; Solanales; Solanaceae. The record is from RefSeq and is a predicted model, not a curated record.
GAGCUCACAAAAGACAUCACGGGAGCAUAGGUUGAGAACAACAAAUUAUGUGUUUCUGUACACUAUCGUAACGUAGAUGAGAAGAGUUGGUCAAUUAUUGGAGAAUCUGUUGAUGAACUGUU